AGCUUUGUUCAAAAUAUUUACAAUUGCUUUCUCCAAAUGUUGAAAUUUUCUUCCUGUCCAGAGUUGGUCACACAAACUACUUGAAAAAUCGAUUUAAAUUGAGACUCUUGAAGUAGGCUACAAGCAAUUUGAUAAUCAGUAAUAGUUUCAAGAUGAUGUUGUCAUGGAAACCGCUUAUUAUUCUUAAAAAUUUUGCACGAAAUUAAUAAUAUAAUGGAUUGAUAUACUUAUAAUUUGAUAUCAUGAUCCAUGAAUAUAACGAAGUGUUCAUAUUCCCGACAAUUGUAUAUCAUUUGUUUGCAAAACUGUGUAUCAGAUGCAUUAAAUUGAUCGUCAACUUAUCCCACGACUUGAAUGGAAAAACUGAUAUCUAGACGUGUAUUGCAACUUGGAAGCAAUUUCUUGAUCGUGUAACGUCCGAGUUUCUCCGAUUUAGUUUCGAUGAAUAAUUGAUUUCCUUAAUUUGAAAGUUACGUGUCACAUGUGGUACAGAUAUGUCACAUUUAAUAAGAGUUUAACACGUGUUGACAGUAUUUAUGAACGAUGUGGAAGUAAAGAUGGAUGUUUUCUAAGCCAAUUAUAUGUUAUAGGUGGUAUGGAGCUUUACCAAUGUCUCGGUUCUACUAUAUUCUACAAAUUUAGGUGUUGGAGUUUAAAUUUGUGGUAAAAGAUGCCAAAAAAAUCUGCAACGUAUCGUAAUAUCUGAAACGUUAGUGUGUCGGCAAUAGUCUAAUGAUGACAUUUUACAAGAACGUCUGAAAAUCACUGGAAAAUAUCUAAAUUUCCAACCCUGUAAAGCAAAAAUGAUUAAUAUAAUUGGUGUUGCAUGAUCAAACAAUUGUCGGGAUCAAACAAGGCUUGCAGAUUCUCAUACAUGAGAUGUGCAUGAAAUAAUUUGAAAAAAACCUUCAACAGCAACUAUACGUAUUAUAAAGCUUUACUUGAGCUUUGAAGGAUGAAAUCGCAGAAAACUACUUUGAAGUAGUGGAAGGACUUUGCAUUAAUUGGACUUCGAAGUGCUUCCGCUUGCACUGUUUUCCCUCAACAAGUCGCAGCUGCCCGAAACUCCAAUCCUUUGAAAAAAUAUGCACGACAACUAAGAAACGUUGGAAUUCAUUAGCCCUAAGGAAAAGAAAGUUAUAUGCAAUCAUAUAAACAGAAGAGCUUCAGGUAGUGUUGUCAAUUUGGUCUUAAGAUAAAUCUUUGGUAGAUAACUUAUGAUUUCACUAAUAGUUGACUAUCAAGUAUUUCAAAAUAAUGUGUUUUUGUUUGUAUUAUCCUACCGUGAGUAAGAACAAUAAAUAUAACACGAUUUAAGAUUUAAUUUAUCAAAAGCUGUAAA
Long non-coding RNA from Bactrocera oleae (olive fruit fly), 1342 nucleotides. RefSeq lists it as uncharacterized. The record is from RefSeq and is a predicted model, not a curated record. Lineage: Eukaryota; Metazoa; Arthropoda; Insecta; Diptera; Tephritidae.